This is a long non-coding RNA of Nycticebus coucang (slow loris), 1346 nucleotides long. RefSeq lists it as uncharacterized. Lineage: Eukaryota; Metazoa; Chordata; Mammalia; Primates; Lorisidae. The record is from RefSeq and is a predicted model, not a curated record. The transcript is spliced from 3 exons.
UAAGUCAACACAAAGCAGUGCGGCACAGAGACUACAAUGCCGGACAGACUUUGGGAGGCGGGUGGCCCGUGAAGCAGAGAUCAUUUGAUUAAGGUUUUGAAGCUUAAGGAGAAGUUUUCUAGGCUGGCCAUUCAUUCCCUCCAAGUGUUUGGAAGCUGAGGUUGUCAACAUUUCCAAAUGAGAGGUUGCCUGACCCAUGUUGCUGCAGAUUGUUGGAGAAAAAGUUGAAGUAGAUAACUCCAAGGCUGAAUUUGGAUGUGGCUCUGCAGAAAAUAGACAGGCAGAGAGAAGAGAGGCCCAGAUGCUGAGACAGACCAGCCCAGGUUCCUGCACCCAGAGCAAGACCAGGAAAGUCCAGCCUGUCUCAAGCACCUGCCCUGCUCUGCCCUAGAGAUGGACAAAGCCAUGGACCCCCGCAAGCUUACAUCUGCUUCCUGGGAGGAGUUGGGCCGCCAUGGGUGACCUUUGGCAUCUCUGCAUGAGGGGAGUUGCAGAGCCCACAAGCCCAAGUUCACUCUACUUUAGCUGCCUGAGGUCUCAGUAUCUCUCAUCUGCAAUCAAAGCCACCCUUUCUAGGGCUUGCUGACAACCCUGCAAACCCACCAUGUGCACCAUUUGCACCUUUCUGAAAGAAACAUGAACAAUGGUAACCUCUGCCCUGAACACUGCACCUAUUCAGUGUUCAAGCCAACUCCACAAAGGAGGAGCUAUUAUUCCUAUUAGAAACCAAUCAGGUCAGGAAACUUGCUCAAGUUCAUGCAGCAGUUAAAUGCCUGUGUCAGGAUUAGAACCCCACCUGUCUGCUUCCAAAGCCUGAACAGGCCACCCUGCCUCUUGGACCCCUGCUGCUUCCCAGAUUAAAUUAUUCAACGCUUCCUACUGCCUCUUGGAUACAGCCUCAACUCCCUGGUCUGGCUUUCUAGGCCUGUCCUAGCCUGACCUUAACCAACCCGGGAAAGACCUUACACAUACACAGUGCUCCCACCUAGGGCAGCAGGCCCCUGUGGGCCGUCCAGAGCCAUCAUCUUCUCGUACCACACACAUACCCUUUCACCUUUGCAAAUGCAGUUCCCUCAGCCUGGAGUAUACUUUAUGAUGGAGAAAGUUUCUAGGGGAUGGGGCCCAGGGCUUUGAGUCAGUCUGACCUGGGUCUGAAUCCCAUCACUGCCCCGGGUCCAAAUGCACGGCUUCGGACAAGCCAAAAGUUCCUCUCUGUGGACACUGAUUUACCCAACCACACAACUGGGAACUCACUGAAAAGGGACAUGGGCUGUCACAGGCACUCACUGGGAAUUCAGUGGAUGUUCUCAGCUGAGCCCACCCUGGUCACCCUCCAUCCCACCUGU